UUUAAUUGGUUUUAUUUAUAAUUCCAAUUAUUAAAGAAAGAUGAGUAAGAAUAUUGUUGGUGUUCUUAACUCAAGAGAAAUGUUUUCAAUUAUUUAUUCAUUAAAUUUUGAAAACCCGGCUAAGUGAAUCAUAGAAUAUUAAGCACUACACCAUGACUUAAGAUUAGAAUUCAAGAAGACCUAUUGAGAAUAGAUUUCUUGUAGGCUUUGUGAUGACCAGGAGGAUUAGCGCUACUUUUCCAAGACAGGUUUAUAUGUGUAUGAUCUUCAGGCUUUGCCUAUCCAGGUUGGCUGGCCGGUGCUGACGGGACGGAGCUGAGGCUAGAGAUAAAUUCCUAUGUUAGACUUCCGCUAUAGCAAUUACUCAUAUCAGUCUUUUGUUUUCCCAACUUAAGAUCUUCAUGUUAAAUUUCAAAUGAUAUAUCUGACCGAGCUUAGACUCUUCA
Molecule: long non-coding RNA, 446 nt
Organism: Salvia miltiorrhiza (redroot sage)
Lineage: Eukaryota; Viridiplantae; Streptophyta; Magnoliopsida; Lamiales; Lamiaceae
Exons: 2
Source: RefSeq, a predicted model, not a curated record